UGGCUGCAUAUAGCGGAACCAUAACCGCUUAAGUGAUGCGUGUGCCACAGAAGCGCAGGCGACUUAUGCGCCGUGCUCAUUAGGGCGGUGAGCCAAUCAUAUAGAAGAGGUGCAACCUCGUAAAAAAAGCGUACUAUAUGGUUUGAGACGUGCAACACAUUCGGGUAAACAAAUUUUGGGGGAGAGCCGUUUGCGAAGUCGCCGCAGGCGGCUUUU
This 216-nucleotide small RNA is filed under the name [Clostridium] leptum. RNAcentral describes it as "FuFi-1 RNA". It matches the Rfam family "FuFi-1 RNA". Lineage: Bacteria; Bacillati; Bacillota; Clostridia; Eubacteriales; Oscillospiraceae. The record is from RNAcentral.